GGACGAAGGCGUAGCANUAAUCUGAGUGGCGGACGGGUGAGUAACCGUGAACAAUCUGCCCAUAGCUGGGGGAUAACGCAGGGAAACUUGCGCUAAUACCGCAUAAGACCACGGUAUCUCAUGAUACAGGGGUCAAAGGAGCAAUCCGGGUAUGGAGGGGUUCGCGUACCAUUAGCUAGUAGGUGAGGUAACGGCCCACCAAUGCGACGAUGGGUAUCCGAGCUGAUAGGCUGAACGGCCACACUGGAACUGAUAUACGGUCCAGACUCCUACGGGAGGCAUCAGGGAGGAAUAUUGGGCAAUGGGGGAAACCCUGACCCAGCAACGCCGCGUGAAGGAAGAAUGCCUUCGGGUUGUAAACUUCUGUGACAGGGGACGAAAGAAAUGACUGUACCCUGAUAGGAAGCCACGGCAAACUACGUGCCAGCAGCCGCGGUAAU
RNAcentral lists this ribosomal RNA (440 nucleotides) under uncultured bacterium. RNAcentral's name for it is "bacterial SSU rRNA". It matches the Rfam family "Bacterial small subunit ribosomal RNA", at positions 64 to 524 of the family's 1533-position model. The record is from RNAcentral.